AUGGGAGUCGACAAGCACGAGAUGAAGGACAAUAUGGAGGAAAAAGAGAAGCUUAUCUCCCUCAAAUAUGAACAUCUCCCAGAUUUUUGUUAUAACUGCGGUAUUUUAAGUCACAAGGAGAAGUCAUGCCCGAUCAGAACCGGAAGACAGGGACAUAAAAAUUUUGGUCCAUGGCUGCAAGCAACUAUUCUCAGGAGUAGCUCCAGUGAAGAGAAAAGCAGGAGCUCAAAUGACAGAAGGGGUUUCUGGUUAACAAACAAUGCAGGCAGCAAUGGCAGCAAGCAGGGAAGUGAUGCUCCAUCUUGGAAGAGAAAUUCAUCACCGGAUAGGGAUAAUGAUAGGUCAAGGAAAGGUGAGGAGAAUGAAGUAGCAAGCCCCCUGAUAACGGUGCAAGAAAGCAAAACUCAGCCAGCUGAAGUAAGGAGGCCGUCUUUAGAGGAUAAUACACAAGUAUCCGAGACAAAGUGGAAUAAGGCAGAAGAUGACUUUGAACCUAGAAAUAGAAAUACUUCCGAAACAGUUUUAUUGCUAAUAGCUAAAGAGACUGCCAAUAAAAUUUUUUUGCCAGCGGAGGAAGUAAAUGAAGACAAGGAGAGGCCUCAUGUAAAGGUGGACGGACAGAAGAAGGAAAUCAAAGACCCAAAGAAGGUCAACAAUGCAAAACAAGGCACUUUCAAGCGCAUUCCGAGAGCAAAAAAUAAUCAUCAACAAGAUCAGAGCUUUGAAUUUGAAUUGAAAAAGAGGAGUGCUAUGCUGAUGGAGGUAGAUACAGAAGCCAAGCCUUCAAAGAGAACUAGAAUGGAGGUCGACGGUGAGAAUAAUGGAGAUGGUGAAAAAGAAGAAAAUAACAACUCUAAGAUUGUGAACGCUGGGCUGCAAGGACAGCCCGACGAACCAAAAUGA
This 903-nucleotide ribosomal RNA is filed under the name Triticum aestivum (bread wheat). Its description in RNAcentral is "partial small subunit ribosomal RNA". The record is from RNAcentral. Lineage: Eukaryota; Viridiplantae; Streptophyta; Magnoliopsida; Poales; Poaceae.